CCACCAUGCGAUAUGCUAAAAUUCAUCCAGAAAAUGUCAAUUUUCUACUGCAAAUUUAAAGUAAACAGCAUCUACUGUGAAUUGCUAUAUUUUAAAGGGUCAGUAUACUCAAAUCACAGAUUGCUCUUGGUGGUAAUAAAAUCUCAAGAUCUUUUUUUUCCCCCAUUAGUAUCUAUGAAUUGUGAGCAUGCUCUUAUGUUUGAUGGAAGUACAGUACAUGUGCGUUGUUCAGUACAUGCAUUUUCUACACAUCUGAUCUGAUUGUCAUUCUAAACAUAACAUAUGGAUCUGAUUCUAAGAUUUAUUUUAAGAUUUUACUUAUUGAUUUUAAAGCCCUUUAUGGACUGUCCCCAAAUAUAUAUAUCAGAACUGCUGUAGCCUCACUAACUAUCACUCAAUCUGAGAUCCUCAGGCAGGAACCUGCUGAUUAUUUCCACCUUAUGCUCAAAGACAAAAGGGGACCAAACUUUUGCCGUUCAGGAUCUUCGGCUGUGAAAGGACCUGCAUGAGGAACUCCGGCUUGCUACUAUAGCUGAAGCGUAAAAGGGGAUGAAAGAGAGGAGAUGACAUACAGCAAAGGGCAGCAGGUUGCAGUCGAACCUGCAGCUACUGCAGCGAGGAAACAGCCUCUGUGCAUGGGAUGCCUGCUUUAAAAGGACGAAUAGAUGCAACCCUCUUCCACCCAAUUCACCUCCAGCCUUCAGCACACUACUGCCCAUUCCUGCUACUCAACCCAAUAUCUUCAUCUGUCAACCAAACAUGGAAAGGCAUG
This is a non-coding RNA of Plectropomus leopardus (leopard coralgrouper), 772 nucleotides long. The record is from RefSeq and is a predicted model, not a curated record. NCBI's taxonomy places the organism in Eukaryota, Metazoa, Chordata, Actinopteri, Perciformes, Serranidae.